GUAGGGAAUCUUCCACAAUGGACGAAAGUCUGAUGGAGCAACGCCGCGUGAGUGAAGAAGGUCUUCGGAUCGUAAAACUCUGUUGUUAGAGAAGAACGUGCGUGAUAGUAACUGAUCAUGUAAUGACGGUAUCUAACCAGAAAGCCACGGCUAACUACGUGCCAGCAGCCGCGGUAAUACGUAGGUGGCAAGCGUUGUCCGGAUUUAUUGGGCGUAAAGGGAACGCAGGCGGUUUUUUAAGUCUGAUGUGAAAGCCUUCGGCUUAACCGAAGAAUAGCAUUGGAAACUGGAAGACUUGAGUGCAGAAGAGGAGAGUGGAAUUCCAUGUGUAGCGGUGAAAUGCGUAGAUAUAUGGAGGAACACCAGUGGCGAAGGCGGCUUACUGGACUGUAACUGACGCUGAGGCGCGAAAGUGUGGGGAGCAAACAGGAUUAGAAACCCCGGUAGUCC
This 450-nucleotide ribosomal RNA is filed under the name uncultured bacterium. Its description in RNAcentral is "partial 16S ribosomal RNA". It matches the Rfam family "Bacterial small subunit ribosomal RNA", at positions 354 to 796 of the family's 1533-position model. The record is from RNAcentral.